GAGCUGUUGAACUGCUUCAUCAGGCGGAAGCUUGUGUCUCCGGAUACUUUCAUAUGCAGGUCCUCAGCUAGGGUCCCGAUGACCGUGCCAGGAGCGUCCUCCUCGAAGGGCUGCUCAGAGAAGCAACACUCAUCCCGUUCCAGAAGAACAAAAUCACAGCAUGACGUUGAAACCUGGCACUAACCUGGGGGAACUUAACCAUCUGCCUACAAACGUGUGGAGCUUUGGUAUUGCCAAACUCUGGGCUGGGUGGGUCCCCGGACUGGCCAGGCUUUGCGGUGCCCCCCUCCCCUCACAGGUAUUUCCCUCACCCCCACAAUCCAAAGACCCAGGGAGGUGGAGCUCCAAGCAGGAGUAAGACGAAUUCUUAUUGAAGAGCUUUAUUGAACAGGUUAUGCAAAUACGUAUGAAGGAGGAGAGAUAAAAGCAAAAGCCACGCACUGCAAGAAAAAAAUUUUUUAAGGCGAUGGAUUUGAUAAGCAGACUGUAUUUAGUAAAUAUUCUUCUGAAUCCAGAUUUUA
This is a long non-coding RNA of Leopardus geoffroyi (Geoffroy's cat), 521 nucleotides long. RefSeq lists it as uncharacterized. The transcript is spliced from 2 exons. The record is from RefSeq and is a predicted model, not a curated record. NCBI's taxonomy places the organism in Eukaryota, Metazoa, Chordata, Mammalia, Carnivora, Felidae.